AAACUAACAAGGAUUCCCCUAGUAACGGCGAGUGAAGCGGGAAGAGCUCAAAUUUGAAAUCUGGUAGCCUUCGGUUGCCCGAGUUGUAAUCUAGAGAAGUGUUUUCCGCGUUGGCCCAUGUACAAGUCCCUUGGAACAGGGCGUCAUAGAGGGUGAGAAUCCCGUCCUUGACAUGGACCCCCAAUGCUUUGUGAUACACUUUCAACGAGUCGAGUUGUUUGGGAAUGCAGCUCAAAAUGGGUGGUGAAUUCCAUCUAAAGCUAAAUAUUGGCGAGAGACCGAUAGCGAACAAGUACCGUGAGGGAAAGAUGAAAAGCACUUUGGAAAGAGAGUUAAACAGUACGUGAAAUUGUUGAAAGGGAAACGAUUGAAGUCAGUCAUGCUCUUUGGAUUAAGCCGUUCUGCGGUGUAUUUCAUUGAGCGGGGUCAACAUCAGUUUUGAUCGCUGGAAAAGGGCAGGAGGAAGGUAGCACUCUCGGGUGAACUUAUAGCCUCUUGUCGUAUACAGUGAUUGGGACUGAGGAACGCAGCAUGCCUUUUGGCCGGGAUUCGUCCACGUACAUGCUUAGGAUGUUGACAUAAUGCUU
This 587-nucleotide ribosomal RNA is filed under the name Naganishia globosa. RNAcentral describes it as "eukaryotic LSU rRNA". It matches the Rfam family "Eukaryotic large subunit ribosomal RNA", at positions 62 to 639 of the family's 3401-position model. Lineage: Eukaryota; Fungi; Basidiomycota; Tremellomycetes; Filobasidiales; Filobasidiaceae. The record is from RNAcentral.